RNAcentral lists this ribosomal RNA (465 nucleotides) under uncultured bacterium. RNAcentral describes it as "partial 16S ribosomal RNA". It matches the Rfam family "Bacterial small subunit ribosomal RNA", at positions 28 to 507 of the family's 1533-position model. The record is from RNAcentral.
GACGAACGCUGGCGGCGUGCUUAACACAUGCAAGUCGAACGGAAAGGCCCUGCUUGCCGGGUACUCGAGUGGCGAACGGGUGAGUAACACGUGGGUGAUCUGCCCUGCACUUCGGGAUAAGCCUGGGAAACUGGGUCUAAUACCGGAUAGGAGCCAUUUUUUGUGUGAUGGUUGGAAAGUUUUUUCGGUGUAGGAUGAGCUCGCGGCCUAUCAGCUUGUUGGUGGGGUAAUGGCCUACCAAGGCGGCGACGGGUAGCCGGCCUGUGAGGGUGGACGGCCACCUUGGGACUGAGAUACGGCCCAGACUCCGACGGGAGGCAGCAGUGGGGAAUAUUGCACAAUGGGCGCAAGCCUGAUGCAGCGACGCCGCGUGGGGGAUGACGGCCUUCGGGUGGUAAACUCCUUUCGCUAGGGACGAAGCUUUUUGUGACGGUACCUAGAUAAGAAGCACCGGCUAACUACGUG